UCUCGGCUUAUCACCGGCUUUCCCCGAGAUGUCAAGCCCAGGUAAGGUUCUUCGCGUUGCGUCGAAUUAAACCACAUGCUCCACCGCUUGUGCGGGCCCCCGUCAAUUCCUUUGAGUUUCAGCCUUGCGGCCGUACUCCCCAGGCGGGGCACUUAAUGCGUUAGCGCCGGCACCCAGGGGGUCGCUCCCCCAGGCACCUAGUGCCCAUCGUUUACGGCGUGGACUAC
RNAcentral lists this unclassified non-coding RNA (227 nucleotides) under uncultured Gemmatimonadaceae bacterium. RNAcentral describes it as "contains 16S-23S intergenic spacer region". The record is from RNAcentral. Lineage: Bacteria; Pseudomonadati; Gemmatimonadota; Gemmatimonadia; Gemmatimonadales; Gemmatimonadaceae.